RNAcentral lists this ribosomal RNA (467 nucleotides) under uncultured bacterium. Its description in RNAcentral is "partial 16S ribosomal RNA". It matches the Rfam family "Bacterial small subunit ribosomal RNA", at positions 28 to 506 of the family's 1533-position model. The record is from RNAcentral.
GACGAACGCUGGCGGCGUGCUUAACACAUGCAAGUCGAACGGAAAGGCCUUGCUUUUGUGGGGUGCUCGAGUGGCGAACGGGUGAGUAACACGUGAGUAACCUGCCCUUGACUUUGGGAUAACUUCAGGAAACUGGGGCUAAUACCGGAUAGGAGCUCCUGCUGCAUGGUGGGGGUUGGAAAGUUUCGGCGGUUGGGGAUGGACUCGCGGCUUAUCAGCUUGUUGGUGGGGUAGUGGCUUACCAAGGCUUUGACGGGUAGCCGGCCUGAGAGGGUGACCGGCCACAUUGGGACUGAGAUACGGCCCAGACUCCUACGGGAGGCAACAGUGGGGAAUAUUGCACAAUGGGCGGAAGCCUGAUGCAGCAACGCCGCGUGCGGGAUGACGGCCUUCGGGUUGUAAACCGCUUUCGCCUGUGACGAAGCGUGAGUGACGGUAAUGGGUAAAGAAGCACCGGCUAACUACGU